RNAcentral lists this ribosomal RNA (486 nucleotides) under uncultured bacterium. RNAcentral's name for it is "partial 16S ribosomal RNA". It matches the Rfam family "Bacterial small subunit ribosomal RNA", at positions 30 to 507 of the family's 1533-position model. The record is from RNAcentral.
AUUGAACGCUGGCGGCAUGCCUUACACAUGCAAGUCGAACGGCAGCACGGGUGCUUGCACCUGGUGGCGAGUGGCGAACGGGUGAGUAAUACAUCGGAACAUGUCCUGUAGUGGGGGAUAGCCCGGCGAAAGCCGGAUUAAUACCGCAUACGAACUACGUAUGAAAGCGGGGGACCUUCGGGCCUCGCGCUAUAGGGUUGGCCGAUAGCUGAUUAGCUAGUUGGUGGGGUAAAGGCCUACCAAGGCGACGAUCAGUAGCUGGUCUGAGAGGACGACCGGCCACACUGGAACUGAGACACGGCCCAGACUCCUACGGGAGGCAGCAGUGGGGAAUUUUGGACAAUGGGCGAAAGCCUGAUCCAGCAAUGCCGCGUGUGUGAAGAAGGCCUUCGGGUUGUAAAGCACUUUUGUCCGGAAAGAAAUCCUUGGCUCUAAUACAGUCGGGGGAUGACGGUACCGGAAGAAUAAGCACCGGCUAACUACGUG